RNAcentral lists this ribosomal RNA (584 nucleotides) under Klebsiella planticola. Its description in RNAcentral is "partial 23S ribosomal RNA". It matches the Rfam family "Bacterial large subunit ribosomal RNA", at positions 606 to 1191 of the family's 2925-position model. The record is from RNAcentral. Lineage: Bacteria; Pseudomonadati; Pseudomonadota; Gammaproteobacteria; Enterobacterales; Enterobacteriaceae.
UUUUGUAUAAUGGGUCAGCGACUUAUAUUCUGUAGCAAGGUUAACCGUAUAGGGGAGCCGCAGGGAAACCGAGUCUUAACUGGGCGUUAAGUUGCAGGGUAUAGACCCGAAACCCGGUGAUCUAGCCAUGGGCAGGUUGAAGGUUGGGUAACACUAACUGGAGGACCGAACCGACUAAUGUUGAAAAAUUAGCGGAUGACUUGUGGCUGGGGGUGAAAGGCCAAUCAAACCGGGAGAUAGCUGGUUCUCCCCGAAAGCUAUUUAGGUAGCGCCUCGUGAACUCAUCUUCGGGGGUAGAGCACUGUUUCGGCUAGGGGGUCAUCCCGACUUACCAACCCGAUGCAAACUACGAAUACCGAAGAAUGUUAUCACGGGAGACACACGGCGGGUGCUAACGUCCGUCGUGAAGAGGGAAACAACCCAGACCGCCAGCUAAGGUCCCAAAGUCAUGGUUAAGUGGGAAACGAUGUGGGAAGGCACAGACAGCCAGGAUGUUGGCUUAGAAGCAGCCAUCAUUUAAAGAAAGCGUAAUAGCUCACUGGUCGAGUCGGCCUGCGCGGAAGAUGUAACGGGGCUAAACCAUG